RNAcentral lists this ribosomal RNA (244 nucleotides) under uncultured Actinomycetales bacterium. Its description in RNAcentral is "partial 16S ribosomal RNA". It matches the Rfam family "Bacterial small subunit ribosomal RNA", at positions 89 to 334 of the family's 1533-position model. Lineage: Bacteria; Bacillati; Actinomycetota; Actinomycetes; Actinomycetales. The record is from RNAcentral.
GCCCGAGUGGCGAACGGGUGAGUAACACGUGAGUAACCUGCCCUUGACUUUGGGAUAACUUCAGGAAACUGGGGCUAAUACCGGAUAGGAGCUCCUGCUGCAUGGUGGGGGUUGGAAAGUUUCGGCGGUUGGGGAUGGACUCGCGGCUUAUCAGCUUGUUGGUGGGGCAGUGGCUUACCAAGGCUUUGACGGGUAGCCGGCCUGAGAGGGUGACCGGCCACAUUGGGACUGAGAUACGGCCCAG